RNAcentral lists this unclassified non-coding RNA (255 nucleotides) under Hevea brasiliensis (rubber tree). Lineage: Eukaryota; Viridiplantae; Streptophyta; Magnoliopsida; Malpighiales; Euphorbiaceae. The record is from RNAcentral.
ACGGCGUCGGCUUCGCUUGGAAAAUGCGGAAUUCCCGCUUCGCCGAACACGGCGGAGGCGGCUCCAUUGUCGCCGACCCAGGCUGCGAAUACCGGCUUUCGGGGGGAAGUCUCCGCGGGGGAUUUUUUUUCUGCGGGCGCCCCCGNNNAAUCAAGCGGUGACGCCAGCGUGUUGGGCGAAUUCAUGAUCAGGACCGCAUUGUUCGCGGUGUCGCCCAGCACGAGUUCGCAGGCCUUCGCAUAGCGUUCGCCGUCC